This 215-nucleotide unclassified non-coding RNA is filed under the name Habropoda laboriosa. RNAcentral's name for it is "ecotropic viral integration site 5 ortholog, transcript variant X2". The record is from RNAcentral. Lineage: Eukaryota; Metazoa; Arthropoda; Insecta; Hymenoptera; Apidae.
ACAAUUUUAAGUGGUGACAGCCGCGUAUGUGCUUCGUUACCCUCGUAGUAGCGUUAUAUCCGUUUUUGCUGACACGAAAUUUAAUUUUCUGACUUAGUGCGUGAUUCAUUUCGCAAGGAGCGCAUGGAAUAUUAAUCGCGCCGCAGGGGUCAAGAGAAGCAGCAGGCAGCCGGACAAUUAGGAUUAUCACGUUAUGGACCGCAGGUGAUGAGCGU